CAUGUAGGCGGCAUGACAAGUCUGGUGUGAAAUAUCUCGGCUCAACCGAGAAAACGCACUGUAAACUAUCAAGCUUGAGUAUCGGAGGGGAAGCUAGAAUUCCUGGUGUAGGGGUGAAAUCUGUAGAUAUCAGGAAGAAUACCGGUGGCGAAGGCGAGCUUCUGGCCAGAUACUGACGCUGAGAUGCGAAAGCGUGGGGAGCGAACAGGAUUAGAUACCCUGGUAGUCC
RNAcentral lists this ribosomal RNA (229 nucleotides) under uncultured bacterium. RNAcentral describes it as "partial 16S ribosomal RNA". It matches the Rfam family "Bacterial small subunit ribosomal RNA", at positions 568 to 796 of the family's 1533-position model. The record is from RNAcentral.